UACGGGGGGGGCAAGCGUUGUUCGGAAUUACUGGGCGUAAAGGGCUCGUAGGUGGCCAACUAAGUCAGACGUGAAAUCCCUCGGCUUAACCGGGGAACUGCGUCUGAUACUGGAUGGCUAGAGUUUGGGAGAGGGAUGCGGAAUUCCAGGUGUAGCGGUGAAAUGCGUAGAUAUCAGGAGGAACACCGAUGGCGAAGGCAGCUCGCUGGGACGGUACUGACGCUGAGGCGCGAAAGCGUGGGGAGCGAACAGG
Molecule: ribosomal RNA, 253 nt
Filed under: uncultured bacterium
Lineage: Bacteria
Description: partial 16S ribosomal RNA
Rfam family: Bacterial small subunit ribosomal RNA
Source: RNAcentral